Molecule: long non-coding RNA, 1074 nt
Organism: Pan troglodytes (chimpanzee)
Lineage: Eukaryota; Metazoa; Chordata; Mammalia; Primates; Hominidae
Exons: 5
Source: RefSeq, a predicted model, not a curated record
AGCACUUUAGGAUGCCAAGGCGGGCAGAUCACUUGAAGUCAGGAGUUUGAGACCAGCCUGACCACCACGGUGAAAUCUCGUCUCUACUAAAAAUUACAAAAAUUAGCUGGGCAUGGUGGCACAUGCCUCUACUUGGGAGGCUGAAGCAGGAGAAUCGCUUGAACCCAGGAGUCAGAGGAUGUGAAAUAGAGUUUCACCAUGCUGCCCAGGCUGGUCUCAAACUCAUGAGCUCAAGCAAUCCCCCCGCCUUGGCCUCACAAAGUGCUGGGAUUACAGGCAUGAGCCACUGCACCCAGCCGAGCCAGUUGUUAAACAUCUACCAACACACCCUGAUUCUGGUUCUAGUGGAAGUUUCACCACAUCUAGCCAUGGGUCCUUGGAUGUGGAAACAGUGGCAAUGAACUUCACCUCUACAUGCCUGAUUUUCUCACCUGCAAAGUGGAGAUUCAACCAAAUCUACCUCAUAAGGAUGGCAGCAGCAAUUCCAAGAACAACAACAGCAAGAAGAAUAAGAGAGAUCAUCUUUUCCUGGGGCUCUAUCUUAGAAAGAAGGGAGAAGGAAUGCUGGCAAUUUAUUGUGCAGGAAGAGAUAUACAAAGUCCAAGCAGGUUAGGUACCAAAAAGUGACAUUUCUGUUAUUGGUAGCCGCUGUGACCUAUUGAUAAACAGAGCAAUUGAUAAACACCAAUUAGAUGCCCUGAAUCAUUCCCAGCAGCUAUCAGUGAAAUUAACACCAGCAACAAUGAAAGCAAAGAAUGUUCCUGCGCCUCAGAUUGGGAAGAGGGGCAGCUGUUAAACUCACAUCUUCUCAUGGAGACUCAUUAUGCACAUGAAUAUAUGAGAAGCUCUGUGCAGUCUUGUAGGAAGAAAACUGUUUAACUGUUUCACCCAAUGUUUUCCAAGUCCAUUUGAUAACAGAAGCCACUUUUCAUCUAACACCUAUUAGCAUCCUGUGGAACUAGUGUUAUGAAAGACACACCUUAAGAAAAACUCAUCUACCUCAACCUCAGAAGUUUCAGAAAAUUGUGCAUCUUUUCCUGUUCUUUCAUUUUAUUAAAAAUAAACCUGACAUUG